CUAACAUGUCACAGGCGGAAGCGCGCCGGGCUCAUAACCCGGAGGGCAACAGAUCGAAACUGUUCCGAGCUAGA
RNAcentral lists this transfer RNA (74 nucleotides) under Cercospora zeae-maydis SCOH1-5. Its description in RNAcentral is "tRNA-Met". The record is from RNAcentral. Lineage: Eukaryota; Fungi; Ascomycota; Dothideomycetes; Mycosphaerellales; Mycosphaerellaceae.